GAUGAACGCUGGCGGCGUGCCUAAUACAUGCAAGUAGAACGCUGAAGCAUGGUGCUUGCACCGAGCGGAUGAGUUGCGAACGGGUGAGUAACGCGUAGGUAACCUGCCUGGUAGCGGGGGAUAACUAUUGGAAACGAUAGCUAGUACCGCAUAACAGUAGAUAUUGCAUGAUAUCUGCUUGAAAGGGGCAAUUGCUCCACUACCAGAUGGACCUGCGUUGUAUUAGCUAGUUGGUGAGGUAACGGCUCACCAAGGCGACGAUACAUAGCCGACCUGAGAGGGUGAUCGGCCACACUGGGACUGAGACACGGCCCAGACUCCUACGGGAGGCAGCAGUAGGGAAUCUUCGGCAAUGGACGGAAGUCUGACCGAGCAACGCCGCGUGAGCGAAGAAGGUUUUCGGAUCGUAAAGCUCUGUUGUAAGAGAAGAACGAGUGUGAGAGUGGAAAGUUCACACUGUGACGGUAACUUACCAGAAAGGGACGGCUAACUACGUGC
This 498-nucleotide ribosomal RNA is filed under the name uncultured Streptococcus sp. RNAcentral describes it as "bacterial SSU rRNA". It matches the Rfam family "Bacterial small subunit ribosomal RNA", at positions 28 to 508 of the family's 1533-position model. Lineage: Bacteria; Bacillati; Bacillota; Bacilli; Lactobacillales; Streptococcaceae. The record is from RNAcentral.